CUACGGGGUGCAGCAGGCGCGAAAACUUUACAAUGCCGGCAACGGCGAUAAGGGGACCUCGAGUGCCAGGUUACAAAUCUGGCUGUCGUGAUGCCUAAAAAGCAUUGCAUAGCAAGGGCCGGGCAAGACCGGUGCCAGCCGCCGCGGUAACACCGGCGGCUCGAGUGGUAACCGUUAUUAUUGGGUCUAAAGGGUCUGUAGCCGGCCGGAUAAGUCUCUUGAGAAAUCCAGCAGCUCAACUGUUGGGCUUUCAGGAGAUACUGUUCGGCUCGAGGCCGGGAGAGGUGAGAGGUACUUCAGGGGUAGGGGUGAAAUCUUGUAAUCCUUGAAGGACCACCAGUGGCGAAGGCGUCUCACCAGAACGGACCUGACGGCAAGGGACGAAAGCUAGGGGCACGAACCGGAUUAGAUACCCGGGUAGUCCUAGCCGUAAACGAUACUCGCUAGGUGUCGGCCACGGUGCGACCGUUGUCGGUGCCGUAGGGAAGCCGUGAAGCGAG
This 500-nucleotide ribosomal RNA is filed under the name uncultured archaeon. Its description in RNAcentral is "bacterial SSU rRNA". It matches the Rfam family "Archaeal small subunit ribosomal RNA", at positions 323 to 823 of the family's 1478-position model. The record is from RNAcentral.